This 253-nucleotide ribosomal RNA is filed under the name uncultured bacterium. Its description in RNAcentral is "partial 16S ribosomal RNA". It matches the Rfam family "Bacterial small subunit ribosomal RNA", at positions 524 to 776 of the family's 1533-position model. The record is from RNAcentral.
UACGUAGGGUGCAAGCGUUAAUCGGAAUUACUGGGCGUAAAGCGUGCGCAGGCGGUGAUGUAAGACAGUUGUGAAAUCCCCGGGCUUAACCUGGGAAUUGCGCUUGAAACUAGCGGGCUUGAGUGUGGCAGAGGGGGGUGGAAUUCCACGUGUAGCAGUGAAAUUCGUAGAUAUCGGGAGGAACACCGGUGGCGAAGGCGGCGACCUGGGUAGACACUGACGCUGAGGUGCGAAAGCGUGGGGAGCAAACAGG